AUGAUGGACUAUAGGACAGGACUGCUGCUUUUAACUCUCUGCUGGGCAGGUGUUGAUGGUCAGACUCUGACAGAAUCUGAACCAGCGAUUAAAAGACCUGGAGAAUCCCACAGAUUGACCUGUACAACAUCUGGAUUCACAUUCAGCAGCUACGAAAUGAACUGGGUCAGACAGGCUCCUGGAAAAGGACUGGAGUGGAUCGCUUACAUCAGCACAUCUAGUUCUUAUCUCUAUUACUCCCAGUCAGUCCAGGGGAGAUUCACCAUCUCAAGAGAUGACUCCAGCAGUAAACUCUAUCUUCAGAUGAACAGUCUGAAGACCGAGGACACAGCAGUGUAUUACUGUGCACGAGAGACACAGUGA
Molecule: non-coding RNA, 363 nt
Organism: Perca fluviatilis (European perch)
Lineage: Eukaryota; Metazoa; Chordata; Actinopteri; Perciformes; Percidae
Source: the annotation of a RefSeq genome assembly